UUCCAAUCUGCUGUGAAUGACCGUAAAAACCAUAGGGCUGGGGGCUGGGCGGACUGUAGUCCUGCAGGCGACAUAAAUAAAACAACUAUGUAAAUAUCACAACCACUACACUGAGUAUACCAAACAUUAGGAACACAUUCCUAAUUUUGAGUUGUAUAUUCAGCAUAGACACACAGGAAGACAAACAUAAACCAUCCACAGAUAAACUGUAUGUGACCCUUGACCCAAUUUAAAUAUGGAAGGAACUGAUGCCUGAGGAAAUUGAGACUGGCGCAAAGGACUGGAUCUAUUUUUACUGACACUCACUUCAGAAUGCGAUAAGAUCAUACAGUUGAAAUAGAUGGAUAACAUAGUACCAUGACAACAGGCUCACAGCAUUGCGCACACACAAACCCUGGAAUAACCCCACCAUAUUGCUUCUACCUUCCAAGCUCACAAAUAACUCUCACUCUACAGCGGUCACCUGGACAUUGCCUCUUGGCGGGUUAGCUGCGGGUGUGUGGUGACCUCUUAGGCCAUUGAUGAUCAUAGUGAGGCUGCAGUUAGGGUAGCGCUUCAUAAACAGGAUGAAACCAGCCAAAGUCACAAACAUGCCAGAAGGGACGCUGAUGGACUUGAGGACCGCUCUCCAUCUAGCAGUCUUAUCUGGAGAAAAAAAAAAGAAUUGGUAGAGCCAUAGAUACAAAGGGUGUGUGAAAUAAAAUAAAUUAAGGGAAAGGGGGGAUACCUAGCCAGUCGCACAUCUGAAUGCAUUCAACCAAAAUGUGACUUCCGCAUUUAACCCAACCCCUCUGAAUCAGAGAGGAAGAGCUCUGCAUCACGUAAAGGGAAAAGCUGUUGCUCACACACAUACACACAAUCACUGUCUCUCACCGACCACAUGGAGAACAGUAGACGACACCAGGUUGCCGUCCUGAUCUCGAAUCUCAUACAUCCCAUCAUGCUUUGCACUCAGCCUGGUGAUGACCACCUCGUUGACAGUCCUAUUUCUCCCCAGAGAGAUGAGGCCCCAGUACCGGGAGUCCUGAUCCACGAUAUGCCCGUCCCUGAUCAGCUGCACGGGGCGGGAGUACCGGGAGUCAAGGGGAACAUUGGAGGGGUUGGACGGGUGAUAAUGAGGAGUGAGAAAGAGAGUAUGAGAAAGAGAGUAUGGG
Molecule: long non-coding RNA, 1154 nt
Organism: Oncorhynchus tshawytscha (Chinook salmon)
Lineage: Eukaryota; Metazoa; Chordata; Actinopteri; Salmoniformes; Salmonidae
Source: Ensembl